GCUGGUUUCACGAUUAUCGAACA
Molecule: microRNA, 23 nt
Filed under: Lingula anatina
Lineage: Eukaryota; Metazoa; Brachiopoda; Lingulata; Lingulida; Lingulidae
Description: Lan-Mir-76-P1_5p* (star (passenger))
Source: RNAcentral